UCAGUGGUUGUCGUUGUUGGUGGUGGUUUCUACUCGUCGUCGUUGCUGCUCGUCGUUGCUGCUCGUCGUCGUUGCUGCUCGUCGUUUCUGCUCGUCGUCGUUGCUGCUCGUCGUCGAACGAAAUUUGCCUGCCAAACGAACGAAAUCUGCUGCCAAACAACUGAGCUCGAAGACGAAACAGAGAAGAACACGAAGCUGCUGCCAAACGAAUGAGAACGAAAACGAAACAGAGAAGUCGCGCCUUGUUUAAACAUUCAGGGGCAAAAGCGUCA
Molecule: long non-coding RNA, 272 nt
Filed under: Prunus persica (peach)
Lineage: Eukaryota; Viridiplantae; Streptophyta; Magnoliopsida; Rosales; Rosaceae
Description: long non-coding RNA (PPER_LNC002362)
Source: RNAcentral